CUUUCUGUUUUUGUCACUUGCUGUGUGAUUUUGGUUAUUGACAUGAUUUCCGCAAGGGUGCUCGUGUUUCUGAUUAAUUUUAUGAUGAACAACAAUAGAAAGGGUGUCCGGAUAAUUGAUGAUGCGAAAGGGUUUAUGACUGAGACCUUUAUGGUGAUAGCUUCUUGAUACCAUGUAGUUUUACCUCAAGAAAGAGGAGAAUACAUCGACACAUGAAUGUGCAAGUGAACUCUACUUUUAUGGAGCCAAAAAAGUGAGACAUUUCUUACAUAUCUGGGAUCAGGACAAGGCUUGAAGGUGGGGUACCUGAGGCAUUGCUGAACUAAAUGUUUGGAAUUGAUUUAGAUGCAUAAGAGGAGGUAUCAACUUUCAUACUGUUGCACUUGCUGCAGCAAAUAGGUUUGUUCUUCCAUGGCUGUGAUUGAGGUAUUUCAAUAAGUUUCUCGAACUAAUUAAUGACUUUUGCAUGCAGUAGGUUAGCAUUUGUUUUCACUUAUUUAUAGCCAGAGAUUCCAUGUGCAGAUACUUUGAAGCUUAGAUAUAUGAAAUUGUACAAUGUAAUUGUUUCAAUAUCUGAUAGUUUGGUAUUCCUUGUUGGUGAACAAGGAAACUAGUCAUGGAUUGAAGAUGUUAUUUUAAGAUGGAUUUCGCAUAUCUCAAGCUAUUGAGAAAAACAUAAGAUCGAAAGUAUGCAAACAACAGGAAGGAUACAAGUAGGCUGCCUCUCUUCAGCUGAAGUGAAUCUUUCUGGUGCAGCUGAAUUUUGGUCAUGAACAAGUGCUUAUCUUCACAUAGGGCUCUGUAACUGUUGGUAUUUUACUCAAUGAUGCCAAUAUGAAAUACUCUUGCUCUUUUGUAGUCCCAAUCUCUCUCAAGAGCUACUAAACUGUUGAAGGAAGGGGAUUUAGCUGGUGCAACCUUUACUAUUUUGCGGCACAGAGGAAAGCUUCUGCAACGGAAUUGGGACGAUCCAAUUGCAGCAUGGGCGGAUAGAGAAGAAAAGGAUUGCAGACACGAUGGCAAAACUGGCUUGGAAACUGCCGGCCGGCAUCCAGUACUUUGAUGAACCACCGUGGGAGGAGCAUUCGAAGGGGAAAGCUAUCCACACAUGGAGCUGAUCGUGUAGGGUAGUUUAGUUAGCAUUUCUCUUACUAUCAAAAAGAAAAAGGAAAUUAUUUGCGAGUUCAGUCAAAAUUAAAUGUUAUCUAGGGAUGGCAAACGGGCGGGUCGGGUGCGGAUACCCCCUUUCCCAUCCCCAUAUCUACCUAA
Hibiscus syriacus is the source of this 1269-nucleotide long non-coding RNA. RefSeq lists it as uncharacterized. The transcript is spliced from 3 exons. Lineage: Eukaryota; Viridiplantae; Streptophyta; Magnoliopsida; Malvales; Malvaceae. The record is from RefSeq and is a predicted model, not a curated record.